RNAcentral lists this ribosomal RNA (997 nucleotides) under uncultured bacterium. RNAcentral describes it as "bacterial SSU rRNA". It matches the Rfam family "Bacterial small subunit ribosomal RNA", at positions 54 to 1069 of the family's 1533-position model. The record is from RNAcentral.
CAUGCAGUCGAACGAGAAAGUUCCUUCGGGAGCGAUUAAAGUGGCGCACGGGUGAGUAACGCGUAGACAAUCUGCCCUUCAGUCUGGGACAACUUUUCGAAAGGAGAGCUAAUACCGGAUAACAAUGUUUAACCUAAGUUAAGUAUUUGAAAGCUUUAUGUGCUGAAGGAGGGGUCUGCGUCCCAUUAGCUAGUUGGUAGGGUAAAGGCUUACCAAGGCGACGAUGGGUAGCGGGUUUGAGAGGACGAUCCGCCACACUGGAACUGAGACACGGUCCAGACUCCUACGGGAGGCAGCAGUGGGGAAUAUUGCACAAUGGAGGCAACUCUGAUGCAGCAAUGUCGCGUGAGUGAAGAAGGCCCUUGGGUCGUAAAGCUCUUUUAUGGGGGAAGAUGAUGACGGUACCCCAAGAAUAAGCACCGGCUAACUACGUGCCAGCAGCCGCGGUAAUACGUAGGGUGCGAGCGUUGUUCGGAAUUACUGGGCGUAAAGGGCGCGCAGGCGGAAUAGCAAGUCGGAGGUGAAAGCCCGGGGCUCAACCCCGGAGGGUCUUUCGAAACUGCUAAUCUAGAGAGGGUCAGGGGCCAGCAGAAUUCUUGGUGUAGAGGUGAAAUUCGUAGAUAUCAAGAGGAAUACCGGUGGCGAAAGCGGCUGGCUGGGGCCACUCUGACGCUGAGGCGCGAAAGCGUGGGGAGCAAACAGGAUUAGAUACCCUGGUAGUCCACGCCGUAAACGAUGAGCACUGGAUGUCCGGAGGGUUCGACCCUUCUGGGUGUCUCAGCUAACGCAUUAAGUGCUCCGCCUGGGGAGUACGGUCGCAAGACUAAAACUCAAAGGAAUUGACGGGGGCCCGCACAAGCGGUGGAACAUGUGGUUUAAUUCGAUGCAACGCGAAGAACCUUACCUGGUCUUGACAUCCUCGGACCGCUUCAGAGAUGAAGUUUCCUCUUCGGAGCCGAGUGACAGUGCUGCAUGGCUGUCGUCAGCUCGUGUCGUG